RNAcentral lists this ribosomal RNA (446 nucleotides) under uncultured bacterium. Its description in RNAcentral is "bacterial SSU rRNA". It matches the Rfam family "Bacterial small subunit ribosomal RNA", at positions 331 to 793 of the family's 1533-position model. The record is from RNAcentral.
CCAGACUCCUACGGGAGGCAGCAGUGGGGGAUAUUGCACAAUGGGGGAAACCCUGAUGCAGCGACGCCGCGUGUGGGGAGACGGUCCUCUGGAUUGUAAACCACUGUCCCCAGGGACGAAGAUGACGGUACCUGGGGAGGAAGCUCCGGCUAACUACGUGCCAGCAGCCGCGGUAAUACGUAGGGGGCAAGCGUUAUCCGGAUUUACUGGGUGUAAAGGGAGCGUAGACGGCAGCACAAGUCUGGAGUGAAAUCCCGGGGCUUAACCCCGGAACUGCUUUGGAAACUGUGCGGCUGGAGUGCAGGAGGGGUAAGCGGAAUUCCUAGUGUAGCGGUGAAAUGCGUAGAUAUUAGGAGGAACACCGGUGGCGAAGGCGGCUUACUGGACUGUAACUGACGUUGAGGCUCGAAAGCGUGGGGAGCAAACAGGAUUAGAUACCCCCGUAA